This 645-nucleotide ribosomal RNA is filed under the name uncultured bacterium. RNAcentral describes it as "bacterial SSU rRNA". It matches the Rfam family "Bacterial small subunit ribosomal RNA", at positions 232 to 885 of the family's 1533-position model. The record is from RNAcentral.
CGCGGCCUAUCAGCUUGUUGGUGGGGUAAUGGCCUACCAAGGCGUCGACGGGUAGCCGGCCUGAGAGGGUGAUCGGCCACAUUGGGACUGAGACACGGCCCAGACUCCUACGGGAGGCAGCAGUGGGGAAUAUUGCACAAUGGGCGAAAGCCUGAUGCAGCGACGCCGCGUGGGGGAUGAAGGCCUUCGGGUUGUAAACUCCUUUCGCCAGGGACGAAGCGUUAUAGUGACGGUACCUGGAGAAGAAGCACCGGCUAACUACGUGCCAGCAGCCGCGGUAAUACGUAGGGUGCGAGCGUUGUCCGGAAUUACUGGGCGUAAAGAGCUCGUAGGUGGUUUGUCACGUCGUCUGUGAAAUCCCGGGGCUUAACCUCGGGCGUGCAGGCGAUACGGGCAUAACUUGAGUACUGUAGGGGAGACUGGAAUUCCUGGUGUAGCGGUGAAAUGCGCAGAUAUCAGGAGGAACACCGGUGGCGAAGGCGGGUCUCUGGGCAGUAACUGACGCUGAGGAGCGAAAGCAUGGGUAGCGAACAGGAUUAGAUACCCUGGUAGUCCAUGCCGUAAACGGUGGGCGCUAGGUGUAGGGGUCUUCCACGACUUCUGUGCCGUAGCUAACGCAUUAAGCGCCCCGCCUGGGGAGUACGG